CACAGCUACUUUGCUGCUUUUGAGCCCACAGGAAAGUCAGUAGGUCUGGGCUACACCCCUGUAAGGACCAGUCGUGUCAGACUGGCUGUAGGUUCACCUGGGCUCAGGGGUGCAGGUUUGUGACCGAAAAGGAGGAUGUGGAGAGCACAAACUGCCACCACUCCGCAUGACUCCGCACCCGACUCCACACUGCCCCGGGAGGCUGCUCGGACUGCUAUGACCAGGUGAGGCUGCGCUCUCGCGCUCAGCCGGGUGGACCCAGAAGCUCGUGAUGCACCUCAGCACCCACAGGACAACGUGAAGCCUCCACCCCCACUGCUUGCCCAGGGCUGAGGCCAAGGGAGAGCCAGGGCUGGCCGCUGAAGGGUAUUGCACCACAAGAGGCUCACUGAAGAUCUGCUAACUGACCACUCCUCUGCAGCACGGGUCCAUCUUCCCCCUGACCUUCUGCUAACUGACCACUCCUCUGCACCAUGGGUCCAUCUUCCCCCUGAGCUUCUGCUAACUGACUACCCUCUGCAGCAUGGGUCCAUCAUCCCCCUGACCCUCUGCUAACUGACUACCCUCUGCAGCAUGGGUCCAUCAUCCCCUGACCUUCUGCUA
This is a long non-coding RNA of Bubalus bubalis (water buffalo), 603 nucleotides long. RefSeq lists it as uncharacterized. The record is from RefSeq and is a predicted model, not a curated record. Lineage: Eukaryota; Metazoa; Chordata; Mammalia; Artiodactyla; Bovidae. The transcript is spliced from 3 exons.